RNAcentral lists this ribosomal RNA (421 nucleotides) under uncultured bacterium. RNAcentral's name for it is "bacterial SSU rRNA". It matches the Rfam family "Bacterial small subunit ribosomal RNA", at positions 355 to 774 of the family's 1533-position model. The record is from RNAcentral.
UAAGGAAUAUUGGUCAAUGGACGCAAGUCUGAACCAGCCAUGCCGCGUGAAGGAUGAAGGUCCUCUGGAUUGUAAACUUCUUUUAUCUGGGACGAAAACGGGAUUUUUAUCUCAAUUGACGGUACCAGAGGAAUAAGCACCGGCUAACUCCGUGCCAGCAGCCGCGGUAAUACGGAGGGUGCGAGCGUUAUCCGGAUUUACUGGGUUUAAAGGGUGCGUAGGUGGGCUUAUAAGUCAGUGGUGAAAUCUCCGAGCUUAACUUGGAAACUGCCGUGGAUACUAUAGGUCUUGAAUUAUCUGGAGGUAAGCGGAAUAUGUCAUGUAGCGGUGAAAUGCUUAGAUAUGACAUAGAACACCAAUUGCGAAGGCAGCUUACUACGUAUAAAUUGACGCUGAGGCACGAAAGCGUGGGGAUCAAACA